Molecule: long non-coding RNA, 379 nt
Organism: Oryzias melastigma (Indian medaka)
Lineage: Eukaryota; Metazoa; Chordata; Actinopteri; Beloniformes; Adrianichthyidae
Exons: 2
Source: RefSeq, a predicted model, not a curated record
CUGCCAUCAGAUUAACAGUUUUAAGAACUGCAGUGUGGACGAUAAGCUCCUCCUGACGGAAUGAUAAAUCAGGGGUGCGGUUAAAGGUGUGGCUGCACCUGGACGCUCCUCCAUCAUGAAAACUGAAAACCAGGAAACGUUCAGCAGGAUGAAAACAUCAGCUUAGGACACAUGAUGCUUACAGACGGAGUCAUGCAGAAGGGUGGAGCAGGAGAAUUCAGACCCACCCUAAAACCUGCCGGAGUGAGCACACCUUGAUGGGAUCGGACACGUCCAGAUCAUGAGUUACAGGUGUUUGACUUUCUGCUGAUCUACUUGUGGCAGCUGGACUUUAAGAACAAACUCCAUCAAACUAACAAUAAGCUGUCAGCAGAGCUUU